This 1291-nucleotide ribosomal RNA is filed under the name metagenome. Its description in RNAcentral is "SSU rRNA". It matches the Rfam family "Eukaryotic small subunit ribosomal RNA", at positions 3 to 1245 of the family's 1831-position model. The record is from RNAcentral.
CCUGGUUGAUCCUGCCAGUAGUCAUAUGCUUGUCUCAAAGAUUAAGCCAUGCAUGUCUAAGUAUAAGCAUUCUUGUACUGUGAAACUGCGAACGGCUCAUUAAAUCAGUUAUAAUUUACUUGAUCGUAUUUACCUUACAUGGAUAACCGUAGGAAUUCUAGAGCUAAUACAUGAAAAAAAUCUGGACCUUUUAUUUAUAGGAGGAAAGGAUGAAUUUAUUAGAUUACCCAACCAACGCAGGGUAUCCAAACUAUAAAGAACUUGUGUCUUUAUAGGCCCUGAUUUCUUCGGAAAUACAAAAAGGUGACUCACAAUAACUAAUCGAAUCGCAGAGACUUCGGUCGGCGAUGAUACAUACAAAUUUCUGCCCUAUCAACUGUCGAUGGUAGUAUAGAGGACUACCAUGGUUAUAACGGGUAACGGGGAAUUAGGGUUCGAUUCCGGAGAGGGGGCCUGAGAAAUGGCCACCACUUCCAAGGAAGGCAGCAGGCGCGCAAAUUACCCAAUCCUAAUUCAGGGAGGUAGUGACAAGAAAUACCAAUACAGGACCAAUGGUGCUGUGUUUGGAAUGAGUAUAAUUUAAAAACCUUAACGAGGAACCAUUGGAGGGCAAGUCUGGUGCCAGCAGCCGCGGUAAUUCCAGCUCCAAUAGUGUAUACUAAAGUUGCUGCAGUUAAAAAGCUCGUAGUUGGAUUUCGGUUAAUGAAAAGUUAGUCCACUUAAUAUAUAAGUGCGUACUGACGUUUUAUUUCCUUCUUUUCAGAUAUACAACUUGUUGUGUUCUGAAUCUUUUACUUUGAGAAAAUUAGAGUGUUCAAAGCAGGCGUAACCAAGCCUUUGAAUAUAUUAGCAUGGGAUAAUGGAAUAAGACUUUUUGCCUUAUUUUCGUUGGUUCUUGAGGCUAAAGUAAUGAUUAAUAGGGAUAGUUGGGGUCAUUAGUAUUUAAUUGUCAGAGGUGAAAUUCUAAGAUUUAUUAAAGACUAACUACUGCGAAAGCAUUUGACAAGGAUGUUUUCAUUAAUCAAGAACGAAAGUUGGGGGAUCGAAGAUGAUCAGAUACCGUCGUAGUCUCAACCAUAAACUAUGCCGACCAAGGAUUCGGGGGUGUUAUAUGAAUGACCCUCCGGGCACUUAUAGAGAAAUCAUAAGUAUUUGGGUUCCGGGGGGAGUAUGGUCGCAAGGCUGAAACUUAAAGGAAUUGACGGAAGGGCACCACCAGGAGUGGAAUAUGCGGUUUAAUUUGACUCAACACGGGAAAACUUACCAGGUCCAGACACAGUGAGGAUUGACC